CUAUCAAAUAAUUUGUCCACAGCUCAAUAGGCGCUCGUGCCGUCUUCUCUCUUCAGAACUUCGAGACUCGUCUACGACAGUCCAUAUUCUUCUUUCUUCCAUAGUAAUUUCCUGAUCACCUCCCUCCCUUGCCAUUUUCCAAAUCCGAACACCUCUCGAUCGAUCCUUUCUCGAUCCCUAAAUCCCCAAUAGAUGCUGAAUCUCAUACGCAGAUCCAAACCCUCCUCCCUCUGCUCUCUUGCCUCCAAAAUCACUCGAUUCAAAGACCCCUAUCCUUCUCACUCCUCCCCCUCCCAAACUGCCAUCGCCACUGUCGCGGGACGGUGGCGUCUACCCUUGACGGCGAAGCCGGUGGUUUCUUCUACCGGUUAUGAUGGUUGGCGGCGCUCCUACUACACUGCUCGCUCCGAGCUCCAACACUUCCGGCGUCGCCAGGGCCCGCGAUGGUAUCAAAACCCACGAAUUGUUGUCUUGGUCGUUAUCGUCGGAGGCGGCGCAGCCGUAACUUUAUAUUACGGUAACAUUGAGACAGUUCCCUACACCAAGCGCACGCACUUCGUCCUCCUAUCCCCCUCCGUCGAGCGCCAGCUGGGAGAGGCCCAGUUUAAUGAGAUCAAAUCUGCUCUCCGUGGCAAGAUCCUCCCGGCUCUCCACCCUGACAGCAUCCGCGUCCGCCUCAUCUCGAAGCAGAUCAUUGAGGCCGUGCAGCGCGGUUUUCGCCACGGAGAUCAACGAUGGAGCGACAUCGAUUACGCGUCCGAGCAACCUUCGCCGGAGUUCGCGUACUCCACUUCGCCGGAGAAGGCGAGGGGCACCAUUCGGGCCCUUGCUGGCGGCGAUGAGGAGGUGCGGUGGAGCAAGGAGGAUGAGGUUCUUGAUGACGAGUGGGUACAUCAUAGUCGGAAGGAGGGUAAGGCACGGGGAUCGCAGCCGGCGACUCGGCAUUUGGAGGGAUUGAACUGGGAGGUACUGGUGGUGAGAGAUGACAUGGUUAAUGCAAUGUGUCUUCCCGGAGGAAAGAUUAUUGUGUUUACGGGAUUGCUAGAUCACUUCAGGACCGACGCUGAGAUUGCCACGGUGAUUGGGCACGAGGUUGGGCAUGCUAUUGCUCGUCAUUCAGCGGAAGGGAUCACAAAGAACUUGUGGUUUGCGAUACUGCAGCUGAUUCUCUUGCAGUUCUUUGGUAUGCCAGAUGUUAUUAAUGCUAUGUCCCAUCUGCUUCUCAGACUUCCAUUCUCUAGGAGGAUGGAAAUGGAGGCAGACUACAUUGGGCUUCUGCUUGUGGCAUCUGCAGGGUUUGAUCCUCGCGUCGCUCCUCGAGUCUACGAGAAGCUGGGGCAGAUUACCGGCGAUUCUGCUCUCAGGGAUUACCUCUCCACUCAUCCUUCCAGCAAAAGAAGAGCGCAGAUUUUGUCUCAAGCUGAAGUCAUGAAUGAAGCUCUGGCAUUGUACAGGGAAACUAUUGCAGGCCACGGAAUAGCAGGAUUCCUAUAAGUAUCAUGCUUGAGAAAUUGCUGAUGGUAAGCAUCUGCUGUGAGCUUAGUUUGAAGCCAACUGCACCGAAAAGAUGCAGUGUAUUCGCCAUCAUAUCGAUUUAUUUUCUGCUGAUUCCGAGUAGAAAGCAGGUACAUGCAAUUCUUUUCGAAUCAAAAUCGACAUAGUUAACUACCUUCCUUUUUCUUUCUCUCUUUUGAAUUUCAAAAGUAUUUCUGGAAGCAUAUUGAAGAAGUGGGCGUCAACAAUUGUAUUGCCAUUUCAUGCUGUGUGUAUCAGUUAUCCUGAAUUAGGCUUAGGCUUCAUUUGAGACUUAUUGCUUCUUAAAUCAGCUUUCUAUAAAGUUGUUUUAAGCUGCAGUAAGAAUGUAGGCUUAGUUUGGGAUGGCUUUGUUACUGCUUCUGAAAGUAGUAUUUUAGAAUAAAAAUUAAUUUUUUUUACUAGAAAGCUGUUUUAAGAAGCUGUUAAAAAACUGUUUGGAACGAAGCCUUAGUGGUGAUGCUUUAGGGCAGAUCCAGCUUUGAAAAUUUUCCUGAAAAAAGAUAAGGGUGAAUAGUACACAUCACACAGAUCACUCAUUUUAAUAAACAGUUUUUUCUUUGAUACAGAUUUCUGAAACUAUUUAUCAGGUUUUGAGUUCUUUUUGUGUAAUUGGUGUGUCAAUAUGACCUUUCUUUGGACAUAUUCAUUAGAAUUAUGCUAUAUUUCCUGUAGAGCUCAAUUGAUCUCUGAUCAGCCUCUUUGUAAUGGCAAAAUAAUGAUGUCAUUAAAUUGAUUGUUCAAAAAAAGCUUUAGCUGGAGCAAAAUGAUCUUAAAUGCUUAACCUUUUGAGUGAAUUGGUUUGAAAUUAAUUGUG
This is an RNA transcript of Dendrobium catenatum, 2350 nucleotides long. RefSeq lists it as uncharacterized. Lineage: Eukaryota; Viridiplantae; Streptophyta; Magnoliopsida; Asparagales; Orchidaceae. The record is from RefSeq and is a predicted model, not a curated record. The transcript is spliced from 5 exons.